UCAACCACAAGACAUGGUCUACCCGCACUAAGCCAUCGGCAAGGAAACAAGGUGAGAUCCCCAUGGUGAAUGUCUUUUCGUGACCUAGGGAUUGAAGAGAGAGCGCGGAGGAAGCGGCCUUGGUCGGGGAUGGACGAGGAUGGCGGGCAGCUGGAUCGCUGGACCCGGGGAUUCACAGGAGAUCUCAACUUUGCCCGAAUCUGGAAGAUAGGGUCGACGGCGAGAUGCUGCCUCGUCCGUCUCGGCUUCGGACCCAGCCUAUGCGGCGAUAAUGGCGAGAUGUUGCCUGGCCAGGGCUUAUCCCCAGCCACGCUACCGCAAGAUCCAGACAUCAUAGGGUAAUACUCUGGGUUUCCUCCAACCCAGACUAAGAUGAUUAGUUUGAUCCUUCUUCUAUUGGAUGAGUUGAUGACCAAAAAAUCCCAGUCUUAGGCACGCCAUUUUUCCCAGGGAAUCUUUUUUUUCUUAAUUAGGAUAUCUUGUCGGAUUAAGAUUGCUUUAGUUUCUGGAACUUCCUAUUGAUUGGUCCGAUCUUGUUUUACCUGCUGCAAUUUUUUUCUGCAAGAUGAAGACGAGGUGGUGUGCAAUCACGCCUUUGGUGCUCCUUACUCUUUGAUUGGAGCUGACGAAAGGGUGAGGGGCUGUUUUAUUUUCAACUUUCAUGUCUAGCACUUUUCUCUUCUAGCAGAUAUACAAGUUGUUGCCGACGACUCCGGUCGGGCGGAUGAUGCCAUGGUCGACCAUGUCCUGUAUGAAAUGCUGGGCAGAUGAUAACAUUGUUGCCUUCUGUCUCUGUGUGACAAUCCAGCUCUGCUGCACAGAUAUGAAGGUCGCAUGUUAUUCGGGUUGGACUUAAAUAGCUCAAUUUUGUCUACCAGUUGCACAUCUCUCACAAUUGCCUAAAAGAAAUGCAGAAUCUUUAUCCACAUAUACAUUUACUUUUUGUUCUAGCAGAAAAGGACAGAGACAGCAAAUGCAUCAACGGUAGGGUGGAACCAAUAUGCCUGAACCAAUGCAACAAGUCGGUAUUCUUCAAUCCCUUCUUUCAUUACGUCGGGAGUGGAUAAUCAAUGUUUUUUCUUCUUUUCUGUACCUCCUUAUUUACGUAUCUUAGUCGAAGCUAACUGCGAUUCUUUGCAUCAUCAUUGAAUGUUUCUUUGCAGGAUUUGCAGACAUUUGCUAAACUUAAAUAUGUGAAUAUGGACAGGUGAUAUUUUGCGUAAGAGUAGCACACAAAGAUUUCGGUGGUUUAGAAAUUUUAUCAAAGGAGAGAAGAGAGGAGAGGGGAGCAAAGGAGAAGAUUGAAAGAGUUUCUCUACUAUUAAAGGGGGCACAUAUUAGAGGAGAAGGAAAGCAAUUGUCUAGGAGAGUCCCUCGAUAGCAUGUCUUUAUUAUAAGCGCAAACAUGAAGUUGAAGCUCUUGCACACACUAAGAUGACAAGAUAAAAUACAUGCUUUGCAUUGCUCCAAAUAUUCGGAAAUAGCAAGUGAUACCCUAUAGUUGAUUAAAAAAGGCAGCAAUCAUUUGGGAUACUAUGUCCUCAAUAUAAUUCCUUGAAUUUAUGUUUCAGCCUUGCACAUAAUAAUAUGUGAAGAUCAGAUGCCAAAUAUUGAGACGGUAGAGGAUUUGUGGCAAGGAUCAUUCAUGAUGUUAUGUGGUGACAAGUGAAGACAAUGCUUAUGUUUUUAUUAUGCAAUAUUUCUUUUUUACUUCGAUUAGCAUAUAUUCUAUGCAAUCAUUCCAACUGAAAGAAUGAGAAAAUAAUUCCGUCUAAUGCCUUUAUUUUCCUUGAUUGUUUUUACGGUCCAUACUUGAGUGUUUCUGAUCUUUCUUUUUGAAGACGGCAGCAAAGAGCAACACACGUCGAUGUCGUUCUCUGGGAGUAUUCUCUCCGGUCACAGCCUGAUGGCAUACCUGACAGCUACAACAUCUCUGUUGAUGUCGAUGUUUGGGAGUAUUCUCUCCGGUCGCAGCCCGACGUCACACCUUACAGCUACAGCUGCUAUGCUAGCGUAUCAUGUGCAAGUGCAAGAAAUAAGCCCUUUGAUCCAGAUCCAUACAUAGCAUUACCACAAACGUAAGAGAGAUAAGUAAACUCACAGCUGUACAAUGUGUACCUCUACAUGAAAAAUGAACUUGGGACUCCUUCUGAGAAUACAAUAGUAUUUUUACCAUUGCUGGA
Molecule: long non-coding RNA, 2183 nt
Organism: Aegilops tauschii subsp. strangulata
Lineage: Eukaryota; Viridiplantae; Streptophyta; Magnoliopsida; Poales; Poaceae
Source: RefSeq, a predicted model, not a curated record